GAUGAACGCUAGCGGCAGGCCUAACACACGCAAGUCGAGGGGUAGAAGGAGCUUGCUCCUUUGAGACCGGCGCACGGGUGCGUAACGCGUAUGCAAUCUACCUUUUACAGAGGGAUAGCCCAGAGAAAGUUGGAUUAAUACCUCAUAGUAUAUAUCAUUCGCAUGUUUGGUAUAUUAAAGUUCCAACGGUAAAAGAUGAGCAUGCGUCCCAUUAGUUAGUUGGUAAGGUAACGGCUUACCAAGACGAUGAUGGGUAGGGGUCCUGAGAGGGAGAUCCCCCACACUGGUACUGAGACACGGACCAGACUCCUACGGGAGGCAGCAGUGAGGAAUAUUGGUCAAUGGACGCAAGUCUGAACCAGCCAUGCCGCGUGCAGGAAGACGGUCCUAUGGAUUGUAAACUGCUUUUGUACGGGAAGAAACACUCCUACGUGUAGGAGCCUGACGGUACCGUAAGAAUAAGGAUCGGCUAACUCCGUGCCAGCAGCCGCGGUAA
This 496-nucleotide ribosomal RNA is filed under the name uncultured bacterium. RNAcentral describes it as "partial 16S ribosomal RNA". It matches the Rfam family "Bacterial small subunit ribosomal RNA", at positions 28 to 523 of the family's 1533-position model. The record is from RNAcentral.